AGAGUUUGAUCCUGGCUCAGGAUGAACGUUGGCGGCGUGCCUAAUACAUGCAAGUCGAACGUGAGCCCUAGUUUCGACUGGGGUGAAAGUGGCGAACGGGUGAGGAACACAUGGCCGACCUGCCCCUCAGAGGGGGAUAACCACUGGAAACGGUGGCUAAUACCCCAUACGCUCACACUGGUUAGAGGCGGUGUGAGGAAAGCAUUGUGCUGAGGGAGGGGGCUGUGGCCCAUCAGCUAGUUGGUAGGGUAAUGGCCUACCAAGGCGAUGACGGGUAGGGGGCCUGAGAGGGUGACCCCCCACACGGGCACUGAGACACGGGCCCGACUCCUACGGGAGGCAGCAGUAAGGGAUAUUGCGACAAUGGGCGAAAGCCUGACGCAGCAACGCCGCGUGCGGGAUGACGGCCUUCGGGUUGUAAACCGCUUUUCUGGGGGAAGAGGAAGGACGGUACCCCAGGAAUAAGUCUCGGCUAACUACGUGCCAGCAGCCGCGGUAAAACGUAGGAGGCGAACGUUAUCCGGAUUUACUGGGUGUAAAGCGCGUGCAGGCGGUUUUGUAAGUCGUGUGUGAAAGCGCUCAGGCUCAACCGGGCGAGGACAUGCGAGACUGCGAGACUGGAGGGAGGUAGAGGCGUGUGGAAUUCCGGGUGUAGUGGUGAAAUGCUUAGAGAUCCGGAGGAACACCAGUGGCGAAGGCGACACGCUGGGCCUUUUCUGACGCUAAGACGCGAAAGCAUGGGGAGCGAACGGGAUUAGAAACCCCGGUAGUCCAUGCCGUAAACGAUGCCGACUAGGUGUGGGCGCGCAAGCGUCCGUGCCGAAGCCAACGUGAUAAGUCGGCCACCUGGGGAGUACGGCCGCAAGGUUAAAACUCAAAGGAAUUGACGGGGGCCCGCACAAGCAGCGGAGCGUGUGGUUUAAUUCGAGGCUACACGAAGAACCUUACCUGGGCUUGACAUGGCGGUGGUAGGGAACCGAAAGGGGACCGACCUUCGGGAGCCGUCACAGGUGCUGCAUGGCUGUCGUCAGCUCGUGUCGUGAGAUGUCCGGUUAAGUCCGGUAACGAGCGCAACCCUCGCCGUUAGUUACAUGUGUCUAACGGGACUGCCCGUUGAACGCGGGAGGAAGGUGGGGAUGACGUCAAGUCAGCAUGGCCUUUAUGUCCAGGGCUACACACACGCUACAAUGGCCAGUACAAUGGGUCGCCAACCCGCGAGGGG
RNAcentral lists this ribosomal RNA (1222 nucleotides) under metagenome. RNAcentral's name for it is "bacterial SSU rRNA". It matches the Rfam family "Bacterial small subunit ribosomal RNA", at positions 8 to 1264 of the family's 1533-position model. The record is from RNAcentral.